Molecule: ribosomal RNA, 468 nt
Filed under: uncultured bacterium
Lineage: Bacteria
Description: partial 16S ribosomal RNA
Rfam family: Bacterial small subunit ribosomal RNA
Source: RNAcentral
GACGAACGCUGGCGGCGUGCUUAACACAUGCAAGUCGAACGGAAAGGCCCUGCUUUUGUUGCGUGCUCGAGUGGCGAACGGGUGAGUAACACGUGAGUAACCUGCCCUUGACUUUGUGAUAACUUCAGGAAACUGGGGCUAUUACCGGAUAGGAGCUCCUGCUGCAUGGUGUUGGUUGGAAAGUUUCGGCGGUUGGGGAUGGACUCGCGGCUUAUCAGCUUGUUGGUGGGGUAGUGGCUUACCAAGGCUUUGACGGGUAGCCGGCCUGAGAGGGUGACCGGCCACAUGGGGACUGAGAGACGGACCAGACUCCUACGGGAGGCAGCAGUGGGGAAUAUUGCACAAUGGGCGGAAGCCUGAUGCAGCAACGCCGCGUGCGGGAUGACGGCCUUCGGGUUGUAAACCGCUUUCGCCUGUGACGAAGCGUGAGUGACGGUAAUGGGUAAAGAAGCACCGGCUAACUACGUG